ACUUGUACUGAUUGAGAUUUUAACACGAAGUGAGUGGCGAACGGGUGAGUAACACGUGGGUAACCUGCCCAGAAGUAGGGGAUAACACCUGGAAACAGAUGCUAAUACCGUAUAACAGAGAAAACCGCAUGGUUUUCUUUUAAAAGAUGGCUCUGCUAUCACUUCUGGAUGGACCCGCGGCGUAUUAGCUAGUUGGUGAGGUAAAGGCUCACCAAGGCAGUGAUACGUAGCCGACCUGAGAGGGUAAUCGGCCACAUUGGGACUGAGACACGGCCCAGACUCCUACGGGAGGCAGCAGUAGGGAAUCUUCCACAAUGGACGCAAGUCUGAUGGAGCAACGCCGCGUGAGUGAAGAAGGGUUUCGGCUCGUAAAGCUCUGUUGUUAAAGAAGAACGUGGGUAAGAGUAACUGUUUACCCAGUGACGGUAUUUAACCAGAAAGCCACGGCUAACUACGUGCCAGCAGCCGCGGUAAUACGUAGGUGGCAAGCGUUAUCCGGAUUUAUUGGGCGUAAAGCGAGCGCAGGCGGUCUUUUAAGUCUAAUGUGAAAGCCUUCGGCUCAACCGAAGAAGUGCAUUGGAAACUGGGAGACUUGAGUGCAGAAGAGGACAGUGGAACUCCAUGUGUAGCGGUGAAAUGCGUAGAUAUAUGGAAGAACACCAGUGGCGAAGGCGGCUGUCUGGUCUGCAACUGACGCUGAGGCUCGAAAGCAUGGGUAGCGAACAGGAUUAGAUACCCUGGUAGUCCAUGCCGUAAACGAUGAUUACUAAGUGUUGGAGGGUUUCCGCCCUUCAGUGCUGCAGCUAACGCAUUAAGUAAUCCGCCUGGGGAGUACGACCGCAAGGUUGAAACUCAAAAGAAUUGACGGGGGCCCGCACAAGCGGUGGAGCAUGUGGUUUAAUUCGAAGCUACGCGAAGAACCUUACCAGGUCUUGACAUCUUCUGACAGUCUAAGAGAUUAGAGGUUCCCUUCGGGGACAGAAUGACAGGUGGUGCAUGGUUGUCGUCAGCUCGUGUCGUGAGAUGUUGGGUUAAGUCCCGCAACGAGCGCAACCCUUAUUACUAGUUGCCAGCAUUAAGUUGGGCACUCUAGUGAGACUGCCGGUGACAAACCGGAGGAAGGUGGGGACGACGUCAAAUCAUCAUGCCCCUUAUGACCUGGGCUACACACGUGCUACAAUGGAUGGUACAACGAGUCGCGAGACCGCGAGGUUAAGCUAAUCUCUUAAAACCAUUCUCAGUUCGGACUGUAGGCUGCAACUCGCCUACACGAAGUCGGAAUCGCUAGUAAUCGCGGAUCAGCAUGCCGCGGUGAAUACGUUCCCGGGCCUUGUACACACCGCCCGUCACACCAUGAGAGUU
This 1362-nucleotide ribosomal RNA is filed under the name uncultured Pediococcus sp. RNAcentral describes it as "bacterial SSU rRNA". It matches the Rfam family "Bacterial small subunit ribosomal RNA", at positions 66 to 1412 of the family's 1533-position model. Lineage: Bacteria; Bacillati; Bacillota; Bacilli; Lactobacillales; Lactobacillaceae. The record is from RNAcentral.